UACGAAGGUGGCAAGCGUUGUUCGGAUUUACUGGGCGUACAGGGAGCGUAGGCGGUUCGGUAAGCCCUCUGUGAAAUCUCCAGGCUUAACCUGGAACAGUCGGAGGGGACUGCUGGGCUAGAGGACGGGAGAGGAGCGCGGAAUUCCAGGUGUAGCGGUGAAAUGCGUAGAUAUCUGGAGGAACACCGGUGGCGAAGGCGGCAUCCUGGACCAACACUGACGCUGAGGCGCGAAAGCUAGGGGAGCAAACGGG
This 253-nucleotide ribosomal RNA is filed under the name uncultured bacterium. RNAcentral describes it as "partial 16S ribosomal RNA". It matches the Rfam family "Bacterial small subunit ribosomal RNA", at positions 524 to 776 of the family's 1533-position model. The record is from RNAcentral.